This 393-nucleotide ribosomal RNA is filed under the name uncultured bacterium. RNAcentral describes it as "partial 16S ribosomal RNA". It matches the Rfam family "Bacterial small subunit ribosomal RNA", at positions 523 to 918 of the family's 1533-position model. The record is from RNAcentral.
AUACGGAAGGUCCGGGCGUUAUCCGGAUUUAUUGGGUUUAAAGGGAGCGCAGGCGGAGAUGCAAGCGUGACGUCAAAUUUCGGGGCUCAACCCCGUCUCGCGUCGCGAACUGCGUCCCUUGGUUGCGGGAAGGGGAGGCGGAACUCGUGGUGUAGCGGUGAAAUGCAUAGAUAUCACGAAGAACUCCGAUCGCGAAGGCAGCCUUCCGGCCCGUCAACGACGCUCAUGCUCGAAGGUGCGGGUAUCAAACAGGAUUAGAUACCCUGGUAGUCCGCUCAGUAAACGAUGGACACCCGCGGUUUGGCCUGUAUGGCUGAGCCGCCAAGCGAAAGCGUUAAGUGUCCCACCUGGGGAGUACGCCGGCAACGGUGAAACUCAAAUGAAUUGACGGGG